This 377-nucleotide ribosomal RNA is filed under the name uncultured eukaryote. Its description in RNAcentral is "partial 18S ribosomal RNA". It matches the Rfam family "Eukaryotic small subunit ribosomal RNA", at positions 592 to 976 of the family's 1831-position model. The record is from RNAcentral.
CAAUAGCGUAUAUUUAAGUUGCUGCAGUUAAAAAGCUCGUAGUUGGAUUUCGGGUGGGAAUGGCCGGUCCGCCGUUUCGGUGUGCACUUGCUACGCCCACCUUGCUGCCGGGGACGUGCUCUUGAGUUCACGCUCGGGACACGGAGUCGGCGAGGAUACUUUGAGUAAAUUAGAGUGUUCAAAGCAGGCCUACGCUCUGAAUACAUUAGCAUGGAAUAACACGAUAGGACUCUGGCCUAUCUUGUUGGUCUGUAGGACCGGAGUAAUGAUUAAGAGGGACAGUCGGGGGCAUUCGUAUUUCAUUGUCAGAGGUGAAAUUCUUGGAUUUAUGAAAGACGAACUACUGCGAAAGCAUUUGCCAAGGAUGUUUUCAUUAA